GGCAUCGUGGUCUAGUGGUAUGAUUCGCGCUUCGGAUGCGCGAGGUCCUGGGUUCAAUUCCCAGCGAUGCCC
Molecule: transfer RNA, 72 nt
Organism: Edhazardia aedis
Lineage: Eukaryota; Fungi; Microsporidia; Culicosporidae
Rfam family: tRNA
About the family: Transfer RNA (tRNA) molecules are approximately 80 nucleotides in length. Their secondary structure includes four short double-helical elements and three loops (D, anti-codon, and T loops). Further hydrogen bonds mediate the characteristic L-shaped molecular structure. tRNAs have two regions of fundamental functional importance: the anti-codon, which is responsible for specific mRNA codon recognition, and the 3' end, to which the tRNAs corresponding amino acid is attached (by aminoacyl-tRNA synthetases). tRNAs cope with the degeneracy of the genetic code in two manners: having more than one tRNA (with a specific anti-codon) for a particular amino acid; and 'wobble' base-pairing, i.e. permitting non-standard base-pairing at the 3rd anti-codon position.
Source: Rfam